AUUGAACGCUGGCGGCAGGCCUAACACAUGCAAGUCGAACGGUAACAGGAAACGGCUUGCUGUUUCGCUGACGAGUGGCGGACGGGUGAGUAAUGUCUGGGAAACUGCCUGAUGGAGGGGGAUAACUACUGGAAACGGUAGCUAAUACCGCAUAACGUCGCAAGACCAAAGAGGGGGACCUUCGGGCCUCUUGCCAUCGGAUGUGCCCAGAUUGGAUUAGCUAGUAGGUGGGGUAACGGCUCACCUAGGCGACGAUCCCUAGCUGGUCUGAGAGGAUGACUAGCCACACUGGAACUGAGACACGGUCCAGACUCCUACGGGAAGCCGCAGUGGGGAAUAUUGCACGAUGGGCGAAAGCCUGAUGCAGCCAUGCCGCGUGUAUGAAGAUGUCCUUCGGGUUGUAAAGUACUGUCAGCGGGGAUGAAGGGAGUAAAGUUAAUACCUUUGCUCAUUGACGUUACCCGCAGAAGAAGCACCGGCUAACUCCGUG
RNAcentral lists this ribosomal RNA (490 nucleotides) under uncultured bacterium. RNAcentral's name for it is "partial 16S ribosomal RNA". It matches the Rfam family "Bacterial small subunit ribosomal RNA", at positions 30 to 507 of the family's 1533-position model. The record is from RNAcentral.